GGGUUGCCUGUAUUUCACGAUAGCUCAGCGAAAGCAAGUCUUCUUAUGGAUACAAAUUGGGGCAGGUUUUCCCCUCUGCUUCCUGCCCACUUAUGGACAUGUUGUUCGCUUGAAAUCCACUCUGUAGGUGUUCCAAGUCAUCUUUGAUUCCAAUGAAGCGUGGUUUGAAGCCAGGCUACACCCCAAGGACUGUCAGCUGUGAAAUGACAGCAACAGAUGGACUUUGCCAGGAUGAAGCAAUCAAAGGACCUCGGGUUGGAGGUUUGAAAACAGGUUUCUGGCUUUUGGAGAUACCAGCUGAAAAGAGGAAUCUUUUGAACUGGCUGUUGGCAGCUAGAACAGAGGACUGAAGGCCCACUUCUCCACUGGACCUGUUUUGGACAGUUUUCAUCUGAAGAUCCUGGCCCAUUUGAUUGGAUUCCACUUAUGAGAUUUGGUUAUUGGGGAAACAUUGUUUUAGCUUAGAUAAGUUAGGUUAAGAUAAAAUUUAUAGAAAAUAUGGUUUAAGAUUAAUUGUAAUAAUUCUCCUUACCCCUUUUCCUUCCCCCCUUUCCUUUAAAAUAAACAUGAUUUUUAUAUUUUUCCUUCUUGUUCA
RNAcentral lists this long non-coding RNA (595 nucleotides) under Monodelphis domestica (gray short-tailed opossum). RNAcentral describes it as "lncRNA (ENSMODG00000043976.1)". Lineage: Eukaryota; Metazoa; Chordata; Mammalia; Didelphimorphia; Didelphidae. The record is from RNAcentral.